UGCCUGACGUGUUCCAAGGAAGCAGUAAAAUAGAAAGUAAAGAACACAAUGAUUUUUACGUGAAAAACACCCGGCUUAAAAGGUGUAAAAAAACCACGACCUGCACCUCUACAGGAUUUAACCCCAACUUCACUAAAUAACUCUGAGCCUCAACAACAACUGAUUACAAAACUCUUGUAACCAACAAAUAGGAAUUAUAAACUUUAAUCCUUAUAACUCAACAACUAAGAAUUGUAAACUCUAAUUCCUUUGACUCAAUAUCUAGGAAUUAUAAACUCUAAUUCCUAACUACACAGACCUCCCAAGGUAUGCGUUCCCAAAGUCUCUGAGUUUUCCCCAACUCGAAGAAUAUCUCCUAAUUCAGCUUAUAACACACUGAAACUAAUAUUACAUCAAUAGUUCAAACACAAUGAACAACUCUAAAAAUUAAAGCUAAAACUCUUAGCUAGAUUCUAUACUCCAGGUUCUUCAAUGUGUUUCUUCAGUGAUUGAGUAGCACUUCGUGAAGUCAAUCUGUCGAUUGUGCUUUUCUGCUUUGUAAGUGCGUGAAUUAUUCUGACUGAUGCAUCUUCUAUUUAAGCACAACUCUUCAAAGAGUCAUUCUUUAUUUCAAACUCCUC
RNAcentral lists this long non-coding RNA (620 nucleotides) under Capsicum annuum. Its description in RNAcentral is "long non-coding RNA (CANN_LNC013371)". The record is from RNAcentral. Lineage: Eukaryota; Viridiplantae; Streptophyta; Magnoliopsida; Solanales; Solanaceae.